CAGCCGCCACGGUAAUACGUAGGGUGCAAGCGUUAAUCGGAAUUACUGGGCGUAAAGCGUGCGCAGGCGGUUCUAUAAGACAGAUGUGAAAUCACCGGGCUCAACCUGGGAACUGCAUUUGUGACUGUAGAGCUGGAGUGCGGCAGAGGGGGAUGGAAUUCCGCGUGUAGCAGUGAAAUGCGUAGAUAUGCGGAGGAACACCGUUGGCGAAGGCAAUCCCCUGGGCCUGCACUGACGCUCAUGCACGAAAGCGUGGGGAGCGAACAGGAUUAGAUACCCCCGUAGUCCCUGUCUCUUAUAC
Molecule: ribosomal RNA, 301 nt
Filed under: uncultured bacterium
Lineage: Bacteria
Description: partial 16S ribosomal RNA
Rfam family: Bacterial small subunit ribosomal RNA
Source: RNAcentral